RNAcentral lists this ribosomal RNA (1254 nucleotides) under Scantius aegyptius rossii. Its description in RNAcentral is "16S ribosomal RNA". The stretch from base 818 to 1185 matches the Rfam family "Archaeal large subunit ribosomal RNA", at positions 2153 to 2718 of the family's 2987-position model. Lineage: Eukaryota; Metazoa; Arthropoda; Insecta; Hemiptera; Pyrrhocoridae. The record is from RNAcentral.
AAUUAAAAUAUUAUUUUCUUUUAUUAAUUUUUAAUAAAAAUAAUUUAAUUUUUUAGUAAAUUUUUUAGAAAUAUAAAAUUAUAUGAUAGUGUAAAGUACUGUAAAGGUUAAGUUUUAAUUAUUUAAAAGUAUAAUUAAUUUAGUACCUUUUGUAUCAGGGUUUAUUUAAUAAAUUUUAAUUAUAUAUUAAUUUUCCCGAAAUUAAAAGAGAUAAAAUUAAAUGUAAGUUUAUGUAAUAAAAUAUUUUAUAAUUUAAUUUUAGUGAUUAUAUGUUAUUCAAUUUUAAAUAUCUGGUUACUUUAGAUUUAAAUUUAAUUUAGAAUUGUUUAGUUAAUUUAUAAUUUUAUUUUAAUUUAAUUAAACAAUUUAAUAUUAUUGGGGAUUAGCUCAGUAUUAUUAUAUAAUAUUGUAAAAUUUAAUUAAUUGUAGGCUUAGAAAUAGUCAUCUUUAUUUUGUUAUAAUUAAUAUUUAAUAUUAUUUUUAUUUUUUCAGUAUUUAUUUAUAUAUAAAGUAAUAAAUAAUAAUUUUGGUUAUUUAGAUAUAAUGAUAAAAUGAGUAGAUAUUUAAUUUAAGUUUAGGAACUCGGCAAAUUUUAUCCUUGCCUGUUUAACAAAAACAUGUCUUAUAUGAUAUAUAAUUUUAAGUCUGACCUGCUCAAUGAUCAUGAUUAAAUUGCUAUAGUAUUUUAACUAUACAAAGGUAGCAUAAUAAUUUGUCUUUUAAUUGAAGACUUGUAUGAAUGGUUGGACAAAGGAUAAGCUUUCUUAAUUUAAAUUAUUAUUUAAAUUAAAUUCUAUGUAAAAAGUCUUAGAUUUAAUUGUGGGACGAGAAGACCCUAUAGAAUUUUAAUUAAAUUGUAAAUAUUUUAUUUUAGUUAUUUAUAUAUUAUAUUAAUAAUUUAAUUUUUGUUGGGGUGACAGUAGAAAUUAAUUAACUUCUAUUUAUAUUUAAACAUAAAUUAGUGUUAAAUUGAUCCUUUUUUAUGGAUUAUAAGAUUAAAUUACCUUAGGGAUAACAGCGUAAUUAUUUCGGAAAGUUCUUAUUGAUGAAGUAGUUUGCGACCUCGAUGUUGGAUUAAAGUUAGAUUUAUAGUGCAAAAGCUUAAUUUCUAGGUCUGUUCGACCUUUAAAUCUUUACAUGAUCUGAGUUCAAACCGGCGUAAGCCAGGUUGGUUUCUAUCUACAAUUUAAAAUUAGUAUUAUAGUACGAAAGGACCUUUUACUUUUAAUAAUUAAUAUUUUAUUGAUUAUUAAU